Molecule: non-coding RNA, 113 nt
Organism: Acanthosepion pharaonis
Lineage: Eukaryota; Metazoa; Mollusca; Cephalopoda; Sepiida; Sepiidae
Source: the annotation of a GenBank genome assembly
UUACGACCGCAUCAAGUCGAAACAGCCGUUCUCGUACGAUCACCAAAGUCAAGUAAAGUCGAGCCGGGUCAGUAACUAUAUGGGUGACUGCUUGGGAAUACCAUGUGCUGUAA